Molecule: ribosomal RNA, 274 nt
Filed under: uncultured bacterium
Lineage: Bacteria
Description: partial 16S ribosomal RNA
Rfam family: Bacterial small subunit ribosomal RNA
Source: RNAcentral
AUACGGAGGGGGCUAGCGUUGUUCGGAAUUACUGGGCGUAAAGCGCGCGUAGGCGGAUUGGUCAGUUAGGGGUGAAAUCCCAGGGCUUAACCCUGGAACUGCCUCUAAUACUGCCAGUCUUGAGUUCGGGAGAGGUGAGUGGAAUUCCUAGUGUAGAGGUGAAAUUCGUAGAUAUUAGGAAGAACACCAGUGGCGAAGGCGGCUCACUGGCCCGAUACUGACGCUGCGGCGCGAAAGCGUGGGGAGCAAACAGGAUUAGAAACCCUUGUAGUCC